AGAGUUUGAUCCUGGCUCAGGACGAACGCUGGCGGCGUGCUUAACACAUGCAAGUCAAGGGGGCCCAGCAAUGGGCAACCGGCGAACGGGUGCGUAACACGUGAGCAACCUACCGAAAUGCGGGGGAUAGCCGGCCUAACGGCCGAGUAAUACCGCAUACGCUCUUUAUGAGGCAUUUCAUGGAGAGGAAACCUACGGGGUAUUUCGAGGGGCUCGCGGCCUAUCAGCUAGUUGGCGAGGUAACGGCUCACCAAGGCAACGACGGGUAGCUGGUCUGAGAGGAUGGCCAGCCACAUUGGGACUGAGAUACGGCCCAGACUCCUACGGGAGGCAGCAGUGGGGAAUCUUGCGCAAUGGCCUAACGGCUGACGCAGCGACGCCGCGUGUGGGAUGAAGCUCCUCGGAGUGUAAACCACUGUUGCCCGGGACGAAUAGCUCGAUUAAUCGAGCCUGACGGUACCGGGUGAGGAAGCACCGGCUAACUCCGUGCCAGCAGCCGCGGUAAUACGGGGGGUGCGAGCGUUGUCCGGAAUCACUGGGCGUAAAGGGCGCGUAGGUGGUUUGAUAAGGGUGUGGUGAAAGUCCGGGGCUCAACCCCGGAUCUGCCGUGCCGACUGUCAAACUCGAGGACUGUAGAGGCAGACGGAAUUCCGGGUGUAGCGGUGGAAUGCGUAGAGAUCCGGAGGAAGACCGGUGGCGAAGGCGGUCUGCUGGGCAGUUUCUGACACUGAGGCGCGACAGCGUGGGGAGCAAACAGGAUUAGAUACCCUGGUAGUCC
This 778-nucleotide ribosomal RNA is filed under the name uncultured bacterium. RNAcentral's name for it is "bacterial SSU rRNA". It matches the Rfam family "Bacterial small subunit ribosomal RNA", at positions 8 to 796 of the family's 1533-position model. The record is from RNAcentral.